This is a non-coding RNA of Merluccius polli (Benguela hake), 72 nucleotides long. Lineage: Eukaryota; Metazoa; Chordata; Actinopteri; Gadiformes; Merlucciidae. The record is from the annotation of a GenBank genome assembly.
GCCGUAGCUCAGUUGGCAGAGUGCGCGGCCCAUGUCUGCAGCGGACCCGGGUUCGACUCCCGUCCCGGGUCA